GCAAGUCGAGGGGAAACGGCAUUGAGUGCUUGCACUGAAUGGACGUCGACCGGCGCACGGGUGAGUAACGCGUAUCCAACCUUCCCAUAACUAAGGGAUAACCUGCCGAAAGGCAGACUAAUACCUUAUGUAAUUCUUAGAUGACAUCAGAAGAGAAGGAAAGAUUUAUCGGUUAUGGAUUGGGAUGAGUCUGAUUAGCUAGUUGGCGAGGUAACAGCCCACCAAGGCGACGAUCAGUAGGGGUUCUGAGAGGAAGGUC
RNAcentral lists this ribosomal RNA (259 nucleotides) under uncultured bacterium. RNAcentral describes it as "partial 16S ribosomal RNA". It matches the Rfam family "Bacterial small subunit ribosomal RNA", at positions 57 to 305 of the family's 1533-position model. The record is from RNAcentral.